CCUACGGGUGGCUGCAGUUUCGAAUCAUUCACAAUGGGCGAAAGCCUGAUGGUGCGACGCCGCGUGAGGGAUGAAGGUCUUCGGGUUGUAAACCUCUGUCACUGGGGAGAAAACGCUUUGAGUUAAUAGUUCAAAGCCUGAUUUAACCCGGAGAGGAAGCAGUGGCUAACUCUGUGCCAGCAGCCGCGGUAAUACAGAGACUGCAAGCGUUAUUAAGGGUCACUGGGCGGGAAGGGUGCGCCGGCGGUGAAAUCCCGAGGCUUAACCUCGGAACUGCGUCUGAAACUACUCGACUAGAGUACUGGAGAGGGAAACGGAAUUCACGGUGUAGCAGUGAAAUGCGUAGAUAUCGUGAGGAACACCAGAGGCGAAGGCGGUUUCCUGGACAGUUACUGACGCUCAGGCACGAAAGCAUGGGGAGCAAAAGGGAUUAGAUACCCCGGUAGUC
This 448-nucleotide ribosomal RNA is filed under the name uncultured bacterium. RNAcentral's name for it is "partial 16S ribosomal RNA". It matches the Rfam family "Bacterial small subunit ribosomal RNA", at positions 338 to 795 of the family's 1533-position model. The record is from RNAcentral.